GACGAACGCUGGCGGCGUGCUUAACACAUGCAAGUCGAACGGAAAGGCCCUGCUUUUGUGGGGUGCUCGAGUGGCGAACGGGUGAGUAACACGUGAGUAACCUGCCCUUGACUUUGGGAUAACUUCAGGAAACUGGGGCUAAUACCGGAUAGGAGCUCCUGCUGCAUGGUGGGGGUUGGAAAGUUUCGGCGGUUGGGGAUGGACUCGCGGCUUAUCAGCUUGUUGGUGGGGUAGUGGCUUACCAAGGCUUUGACGGGUAGCCGGCCUGAGAGGGUGACCGGCCACAUUGGGACUGAGAUACGGCCCAGACUCCUACGGGAGGCAGCAGUGGGGAAUAUUGCACAAUGGGCGGAAGCCUGAUGCAGCAACGCCGCGUGCGGGAUGACGGCCUUCGGGUUGUAAACCGCUUUCGCCUGUGACGAAGCGUGAGUGACGGUAAUGGGUAAAGAAGCACAGGCUAACUACGUG
This 468-nucleotide ribosomal RNA is filed under the name uncultured bacterium. RNAcentral's name for it is "partial 16S ribosomal RNA". It matches the Rfam family "Bacterial small subunit ribosomal RNA", at positions 28 to 507 of the family's 1533-position model. The record is from RNAcentral.